This 2313-nucleotide long non-coding RNA is filed under the name Gossypium barbadense (sea-island cotton). Its description in RNAcentral is "long non-coding RNA (GBAR_LNC009224)". Lineage: Eukaryota; Viridiplantae; Streptophyta; Magnoliopsida; Malvales; Malvaceae. The record is from RNAcentral.
UAACAUACAACAUGGCAUAAAUGAGCUCUUAAACAUCUACAAACCUCAUAUCCAUCACUAAGCAUGCAUAAUCAUUUCCACAAACCAUUCAUGAGGCAUUAUUAACUAUUUACCAAUCACCUUGCAUCAGUUACUAACUCAUCAAUGAAUCUCAUUUCAAUCUCUAGGCAUACAUGCUAUAAGCCACGUCACAAGAGAUAGUAUCAUACAUAUAUAUGAAUAAACAUUUAGGCCCACAACAUCAUUAGCCAACAUAGGCCAAUUCACAUGGCUACAACACUUUAUCAAUACAAGCCAACACCUUUGGCUAAAUCAUAAUAUCACAUACUCAACAUUAAAACCCUAUACAUGCCAUAGACUCGAAACACUAGGAUUUACUUACGCCGAUAGCAUUAACUCGACAGUGUGAUAAUAUCUCUGAUGGCCUCUAACCCGAGCUAACCUGGCAACCCUAGGGAACAUGGGAAAGAAAGAGGGGGUAAGCUUUAGGCUUAGUGAGUUCAUAUGAAAACAAUUAGCAGCUCAUUUACAUGUUUUAUCAAUGUUUACAACAUAUUCUCAAGUUCACAACAAGCUAUCUUCCUGAGUAACAUUCACUAAAUUAUUUAUAUCUGGAGCUACAAAACUCCAAAUUAAGUUCUGGUAAUUUUCCUUGAAACUAGACUCAUGUACCUUUAUACCAUGAAAUUUCCAGAAUUUUUGGUUUAGCAAAUUAGUACAGUUUAUUCGUCAAAUUUAACCCUGAUUCACUGUUUGACAGUUCAGACCCUUCUGCACUAAAGUUCAAUUAUCUCAUAGCUCAGGACUUGAAUAAUGUUCUCGUCUAUUUCUCUUGAAACUAAACUCAUUAAGGAUUCUAAGAAUACAAAACAUAACUCAUAAAUAUUGUUUUACAAUUUAUAAUGAUUUUCUCAAAUUAGAAUAGGGGAUCUCGAAGUCAUUUUGACUCUGUCCCACACAACUUCAAAUAUCUCAUUAUAGGAAAUUUUUUUGCUUACACGGUUUCUUUUAAAAGAAACUAGACUCAAGAAGCUUUAUUCCCAUAUUUUAUUUAGCUUCUAACUCAUUUUCACUAUUUUUAGUGUAUUUUCAAAGUUACACUACUGCAGUAACUUAAAUCUGUCAAGGCUAAAUUACUCAUUCAUGAUUAUUGUUCACAAAAUUCAUACAACAUCAUUUCACCCAUCAUGGUAAGAACACAUAUUUAUGCAUCAUAGAUCAUUCACAUACUAAGGCAUUCUCACAGGCUUAGUGUACAUACCUGCACAACUCGUAACAUAACUCAAAUGCAUACUCACCAAUGACUUACCUCAUUGGGACCAUCAUCAGCUCUUUUCUCAGAUUACCCGUUGAACACUUGGAAUACUAAUUGGAUACUCGGAAAAAUCUUUGCACAUAAAUGCCUCAAUCAUAGCUAAAGCUACCUCAUAUCUCAUAACCUUUAAAUGCUCACUCUCGAGCUAGUCAUCUAGACUCAUAAUUCCUAGUGACAUGUCACUCGUAUCCUAUUUUAUUCCUAAUGUUCAAACGGGAUUUCUCCUCGCCUAUUAAGGCUUUAUCUUAUCAUAUUUCUAUUAAUCACAUACACUUAAUAUUUGUACAAUUCAUGUAAUGAUAACAUUUAAAUACAUGUAUAGCAUGGUAUUGUUUACACACGAACUUACCUCGAUACCACAAAGGUGAAAAAGACAUAAUCGUCCAUAAACCAAUUUCCCCGUUCUAGGCCCAAAUCGCAUUUUUCAACAUCUAAAACAUCAUAUUUAGCUUAUUAAAACAAUGUACUAAUCAAAUUAUUCCAUUGACACACUUGGGCAAUUUUUACAAUUUUGCCCCCAUAUUUUGCCAAAAUUACCAAAUUACCCCUAGGCUCGAAAAAUGGUUUUUAUUCAAUUUAUUUACUCUUUAAGACUAGAUGAACUAUUUUAUAACUAUAGCAACUCACAAUAUCAACUAUUUCAUACACUUACACAUUAUCUUACAACUUAGCAAACUAGCCAUUUUUAAGGUGUUUUCAUGCAAUUUCUUUCACAAAAGUUAUUUAUUAGACAAAUAAGACUCAUAAUCUUCCAUAAAAACACAGCAAACAACACAUUUACUCUCAUGGCAAAACCCUAGACUCUUCAUCAUUUUGCAAACUAGACUCCUCAUUUGAAAGCUUAGGCUUUAGGGAUUCCAAAAAUGUAAAAAUCAUCAAGAAACAACCAAAUAUCACUUACUUGCUAGGGCUUAAAGUGGCUGAAAGUUUAAAGCUCAAAACCCCCAUUCUUUGCUGCCAUUUUCGGUGGAGAGAAGAUGAAGAAUGAAAGAGAAAAU